GCCUCAGACAUGCAAGUCGAACGAGAAAGUUCCCUUCGGGGAGCGAGUAAAGUGGCGCACGGGUGAGUAACACGUAGGUAAUCUACCUUCGGGUGGGGAAUAACGCAGGGAAACUUGCGCUAACACCGCAUAAUGCAGCGGCACCACAUGGUGACAGUUGUUAAAGCGGGGGAUUUUAGGACCUCGCGCCUGAAGAGGAGCCUGCGGCGGAUUAGCUAGUUGGUAGGGUAACGGCUUACCAAGGCGACGAUCCGUAACCGGCCUGAGAGGGCGGUCGGUCACACUGACACUGACAUACGGGUCAGACUCCUACGGGAGGCAGCAGUCGGGAAUUUUGGGCAAUGGGCGAAAGCCUGACCCAGCAACGCCGCGUGAAGGAUGAAAUCCUUCGGGAUGUAAACUUCGCAAGAAUGGGAAGAAUUAGUAGGGGCUAAUACCCCCUAUGAUGACGGUACCAUUUGUAAGCUCCGGCUAACUCCGUGCCAGCAGCCGCGGUAAUACGGGGGGAGCAAGCGUUGUUCGGAUUUACUGGGCGUAAAGGGCGCGUAGGCGGUCAGCACAA
This 562-nucleotide ribosomal RNA is filed under the name uncultured soil bacterium. RNAcentral's name for it is "bacterial SSU rRNA". It matches the Rfam family "Bacterial small subunit ribosomal RNA", at positions 46 to 587 of the family's 1533-position model. The record is from RNAcentral.